RNAcentral lists this self-splicing intron (566 nucleotides) under Candidatus Kaiserbacteria bacterium GW2011_GWA1_50_28. It matches the Rfam family "Group I catalytic intron". From Rfam's summary of the family: Group I catalytic introns are large self-splicing ribozymes. They catalyse their own excision from mRNA, tRNA and rRNA precursors in a wide range of organisms. The record is from RNAcentral. Lineage: Bacteria; Candidatus Kaiseribacteriota.
CGAUAACUAUAAGAUGAUUGUAGUUAUAAAAUUCAGCUAUUUGCUGGAAACUCUGCGCAUAUCAAGGUACCGCAAGGUGAUAAUCUUUGAUCGAUGAUCGAGCCGCAAGGCCUGGUCGAGCAGACAAUCAGCAGGGAAGAUUCUUGAUUGUUGGAAAGUGCGAAAAAGUGAAGCGAAGGAGAAGGACGAUGAAAGACAUCGGAAAAUUGCUGCCGGGGAAGACGAUCCAAUCGGUCGUUCUUCCCGACGACGUUCCAGCAGAUGGAAAUCCGUAUCAGGUUGAAUUCCAAUUCACCGACGGAUCGUCCGUUACCAUCGUUGCGGUGGAUAGCGUCGGAGACAAGGGCGAGUUCGAGACCGUGUAUGAGUCUCCCGAUCCGAUUCCGAGUCUGUAGCAGAACAGCUCGAUCACAUCGAAAGUUCUUUAAGCGGGCAAGUUAGCUUGCCCGUACUUUCCAACAAUCAAGAAAACCCUCAGAGACUACACGCUGAACUCGCCUCUCUUAAUUGAGCAAUUAAUUAAGAUAGUCGAGAUGAUAUAGUCCGGCCUCUAUGGCGACAUAGAG